This is a small nuclear RNA of Echinops telfairi (small Madagascar hedgehog), 108 nucleotides long. Lineage: Eukaryota; Metazoa; Chordata; Mammalia; Afrosoricida; Tenrecidae. The record is from Ensembl.
AUGCUCGCUUCAGCAGCACAUAGGCUAAAAUUGGAAUGAUACAGAAAAGAUUAGCAUGGCCGUAUUUGCAAGGAUGAUAGGCAAAUUCAUGAAGUGUUCCCUAUUUUU